UACGAAGGGGGCUAGCGUUGCUCGGAAUCACUGGGCGUAAAGCGCACGUAGGCGGAUUGCUAAGUCAGGGGUGAAAUCCUGGAGCUCAACUCCAGAACUGCCCUUGAUACUGGCGGUCUCGAGUCCGGGAGAGGUGAGUGGAACUGCGAGUGUAGAGGUGAAAUUCGUAGAUAUUCGCAAGAACACCAGUGGCGAAGGCGGCUCACUGGCCCGGUACUGGCGCUGAGGUGCGAAAGCGUGGGGAGCAAACAGG
This 253-nucleotide ribosomal RNA is filed under the name uncultured bacterium. RNAcentral's name for it is "partial 16S ribosomal RNA". It matches the Rfam family "Bacterial small subunit ribosomal RNA", at positions 524 to 776 of the family's 1533-position model. The record is from RNAcentral.